GCUGGGUGCAGUGGCGGGCGCCUGUAAUCCCAGCUACUCGGGAGGCUGAGGCAGGAGAAUUGCUUGAACCUGGGCGGCAGAGGUUGCAGUGUGCCAAGAUCGUGCCACUGCACUCCAGCCUGGGUGACAGAGUGAGACUCUGUCUCAA
RNAcentral lists this non-coding RNA (148 nucleotides) under Homo sapiens (human). The record is from Rfam by way of RNAcentral. Lineage: Eukaryota; Metazoa; Chordata; Mammalia; Primates; Hominidae.